GACGAACGCUGGCGGCGUGCUUAACACAUGCAAGUCGAACGGUAAGGCCCUUCGGGGUACACGAGUGGCGAACGGGUGAGUAACACGUGGGUGAUCUGCCCUGCACUUCGGGAUAAGCCUGGGAAACUGGGUCUAAUACCGGAUAGGACUCCUGCCUGCAUGGGUGGGGGUGGAAAGCUUUUGCGGUGUGGGAUGGGCCCGCGGCCUAUCAGCUUGUUGGUGGGGUGAUGGCCUACCAAGGCGACGACGGGUAGCCGGCCUGAGAGGGUGACCGGCCACACUGGGACUGAGAUACGGCCCAGACUCCUACGGGAGGCAGCAGUGGGGAAUAUUGCACAAUGGGCGCAAGCCUGAUGCAGCGACGCCGCGUGAGGGAUGACGGCCUUCGGGUUGUAAACCUCUUUCAGCAUCGACGAAGCGAAAGUGACGGUAGGUGCAGAAGAAGGACCGGCCAACUACGUGCCAGCCGCCGCGGUAA
This 478-nucleotide ribosomal RNA is filed under the name uncultured bacterium. Its description in RNAcentral is "partial 16S ribosomal RNA". It matches the Rfam family "Bacterial small subunit ribosomal RNA", at positions 28 to 523 of the family's 1533-position model. The record is from RNAcentral.